UACGAAGGGGGCUAGCGUUGUUCGGAUUUACUGGGCGUAAAGCGCACGUAGGCGGGUUGUUAAGUCAGGGGUGAAAUCCUGGAGCUCAACUCCAGAACUGCCUUUGAUACUGGCAACCUAGAGGCUGGAAGAGGUUAGUGGAAUUCCCAGUGUAGAGGUGAAAUUCGUAGAUAUUGGGAAGAACACCGGUGGCGAAGGCGGCCCACUGGUCCGGUACUGACGCUGAGGUGCGAAAGCGUGGGGAGCAAACAGG
Molecule: ribosomal RNA, 253 nt
Filed under: uncultured bacterium
Lineage: Bacteria
Description: partial 16S ribosomal RNA
Rfam family: Bacterial small subunit ribosomal RNA
Source: RNAcentral